UACGUAGGGUGCGAGCGUUAAUCGGAAUUACUGGGCGUAAAGCGUGCGCAGGCGGUUCUCCAAGUCCGUUGUGAAAGCCCCGGGCUCAACCUGGGAAUGGCAGUGGAAACUAGGGGACUGGAAUCUGGCAGAGGGGGAUGGAAUUCCGCGUGUAGCAGUGAAAUGCGUAGAUAUGCGGAGGAACACCGGUGGCGAAGGCGGGUCUCUGGGCAGUAACUGACGCUGAGGAGCGAAAGCGUGGGGAGCGAACAGG
RNAcentral lists this ribosomal RNA (253 nucleotides) under uncultured bacterium. Its description in RNAcentral is "partial 16S ribosomal RNA". It matches the Rfam family "Bacterial small subunit ribosomal RNA", at positions 524 to 776 of the family's 1533-position model. The record is from RNAcentral.